This is an RNA transcript of Oncorhynchus mykiss (rainbow trout), 1228 nucleotides long. It is a transcript of the gene named adenylate kinase 2, mitochondrial, with no coding region annotated. NCBI's taxonomy places the organism in Eukaryota, Metazoa, Chordata, Actinopteri, Salmoniformes, Salmonidae. The record is from RefSeq and is a predicted model, not a curated record.
GGGCUUUAAUCCUAAACAGCAAGGAAUAAGUCGCUGACACUUCCUUUCGUGGCCGAGUUGGCAGAUAACAAAAGUGGCACAAGGACGGUUAAAGUGAACAUGGCCCCCAGCGUGCAGUUGAACGAUGCAGUGUCCGACGUAAAAAAGGGAAUUCGGGCAAUCCUUCUCGGACCCCCUGGUGCUGGGAAAGGAACACAGGCUCCUCGGUUGGCAGAGCAGUACUGUGUGUGUCAUCUGGCCACGGGGGACAUGCUGAGGGCAAUGGUGGCCUCUGGCUCUGAGCUCGGCAAGAGGCUCAAGGAGACCAUGGAUGCCGGGAAACUGGUCAGUGACGAGAUGGUGGUAGAACUCAUAGAAAAGAACCUGGACACGCCUCCCUGUAAGAAGGGGUUCCUAUUGGACGGAUUCCCCCGCACAGUGAAACAAGCAGAGAUGCUGGAUGACUUGCUGGAGAAGCGCACAGAGAAGCUGGACUCUGUGAUUGAGUUCUCCGUCGAUGACUCCCUACUGGUGCGCAGGAUCUGUGGCAGACUAAUUCACCAGCCCAGUGGUCGCUCCUACCACGAGGAGUUCAAUCCACCCAAAGAGCCCAUGAAGGAUGACGUGACAGGGCAGCCGCUGAUGCGCCGCAGCGACGACAACGCGUCGACGCUGCGCUCGCGGCUGGAGGCCUACCACCGGCAGACGGUGCCCUUAGUCAAGUACUACAGCGCCCGCGGCCUGCACAAGGCCGUCGACGCCGCCCAGUCCCCCGACGUCGUCUUCGCCUCCAUCCUCGCCGCCUUCUCCUCGGCUACAGCCGCCCCCUGUAAAGACCUGGUGCUCUUCGUCUAAGCUCCCUUCCACUUCAGUCGCUUCUUCACUCUCAGGACUCUGGUCCGUGCUCCUUUCGUCUAGCUUUCCAACUCUCCUCCUCGGGACUAGUCUGUGCUCCGUUCUCUACAGCUCUACUUUCUGGUGGGGUGUACUUGUAUUUGAAUGCGCUCCUCUACUGGGACUUUCCCCGGAAACUACAGAGAAUAGCUGAUUUUAUAAUGCUGAUUGAAUCCUGGCAAUGGAAGCAAGCGGAGGAAGGAGGACAUGUUGUACUGUAGCACUUCAUUGUGAGAUGUUUCUGGAGGAUGAGUGAGCAUAAUGCAGUGCAAUCUACCAUUAAUUAGUGAAGCAAUCUUGGAAGUGACUUAUGUUUCCCUUCUAAUAAAAAGAUGCUUUUCUACAAUCAUGACAA